ACCCAAGUCAAAAUCGGUGGAUUCACGUAUUUACAUAUUAGUUAGGGAAUAUAAAUAUUAAAAAAAAUCAAAAUUUUAAUUUAUUCGGUUUUCGGUUUAAAGCAUACACAAACCAAAUAUACAUAUAAGUAAAAAAGAAAUCAAGUCCCAAUGCAUGUGCAAUUUUCCCAAGUCCAGCAUCUUGAAUUUACAUUCUAUUAUUUUAUAUGCAAAUAAAUCAAAAGAAAUUUAAAAAAAGAAAAGCCA
This 246-nucleotide unclassified non-coding RNA is filed under the name Hevea brasiliensis (rubber tree). Lineage: Eukaryota; Viridiplantae; Streptophyta; Magnoliopsida; Malpighiales; Euphorbiaceae. The record is from RNAcentral.